RNAcentral lists this long non-coding RNA (1125 nucleotides) under Heterocephalus glaber (naked mole-rat). RNAcentral describes it as "lncRNA (ENSHGLG00100050423.1)". Lineage: Eukaryota; Metazoa; Chordata; Mammalia; Rodentia; Bathyergidae. The record is from RNAcentral.
GAAAGAUUCCAGCUUCUCAGAUAAACGUGCUUCUGUAAACUCUUAUGAACUUGCUUACAGCAUCUGGGUUGAGAUCAAGAGUUAUAUCCUCUCCCUGGGAACUGAUGUCUUGGCCUUAUUGAGAGUUGCUGAAAAAGUCAUGAAAGAGUAGAGGAAGAAAGAGGAAGAAAAUACUAUGGACUUAGAGAAGAAUUCAGAGGAAAAGUAAAGAUAGACACAGAAAAAGAAAGCCAGAGACUCAGGAGAUUGGAGGCUUCAUCUGUAUUCAUCAUGGUGUGACAUAAACCAGAGGAGCCACACCUUAAGACAGGCAUUGACGAGAACCAAAUUGUCUGCUUACACAUUUUGCAUAACUAAUGAUUAGAAAAGAUUCUCCGGAAGAAGCUUCUGUGAAUUUCAAGCCCUAUUGCUCUUGCCUACCAACACUUUGGUAUCAGACUACUGGGGAUUCGGGAAAUCUGACUUGAAACCAGCCUGAGGAAUACUGUGAAUAAAAGCUCUGCUUCUCAACCACCAUGAUCUAAGCAUCUUUGCUCUGCCAUGCCCUUCUGCUAUGACGUUCCUGCCUUGAAGUCAAAUAGCAAAGGGCUGAAUCCCCUGAAACUGCUGAAUGUGACAUCCUGGGGAAACUUCCUCCUGAGACACUGUGCCUGCCUCUCCUCUAUCAGAUAUUCUUAAUACUGCGGUGAUCUUCUGUUGGUCUCCCGCAUAUGAGCAUCACCGCCUAGAGGAUUCUACAGCUCAAAGGGUUAAUAAUUUCUGAAGAGGCCAAUUUGCGGUGAGAGCUGACCUGAAUACUGCUAUCCUUGGGGGCUGCUCUGGAUCAUUUGCACUGACUCAGAAACCCGGGCUUAAAGGUGAUUGAUUCUCUGGACCUUAGCUAAACUCCUGUGGGCCUAAAGAGAGACAGCUGGUAUACUAGAUGUCCAGAGAAACACACACACACACACACACACACACACGCUGGGCAUGGGGUUCAAUAAGCCCUCCCAUGGAUUCGUAUCAAAGACAGAUUCUGAAAGACAGCUCAAAGCUGAGCAGAUCCUCAUUUGUCCACAUUAUCUUUGAGAUGUGACUGUCGUCCUCAGCUUUCUGGCAGCUUGCCCAAGCUCUCUGAGGGAAACU